RNAcentral lists this ribosomal RNA (444 nucleotides) under uncultured Azospira sp. RNAcentral's name for it is "bacterial SSU rRNA". It matches the Rfam family "Bacterial small subunit ribosomal RNA", at positions 939 to 1382 of the family's 1533-position model. Lineage: Bacteria; Pseudomonadati; Pseudomonadota; Betaproteobacteria; Rhodocyclales; Rhodocyclaceae. The record is from RNAcentral.
AUGUGGAUUAAUUCGAUGCAACGCGAAAAGCCUUACCUACCCUUGACAUGCUAGGAACUUGCCAGAGAUGGCUUGGUGCCCGAAAGGGAACCUAGACACAGGUGCUGCAUGGCUGUCGUCAGCUCGUGUCGUGAGAUGUUGGGUUAAGUCCCGCAACGAGCGCAACCCUUGUCAUUAAUUGCCAUCAUUCAGUUGGGCACUCUAAUGAGACUGCCGGUGACAAACCGGAGGAAGGUGGGGAUGACGUCAAGUCCUCAUGGCCCUUAUAGGUGGGGCUACACACGUCAUACAAUGGAUGGUACAAAGGGUCGCCAACCCGCGAGGGGGAGCCAAUCCCAUAAAGCCAUUCGUAGUCCGGAUCGCAGUCUGCAACUCGACUGCGUGAAGUCGGAAUCGCUAGUAAUCGUGGAUCAGAAUGUCACGGUGAAUACGUUUCCGGGUCUU